UGGGUGCCGAGGGCGCCCAGGGCCGUGGCUGUGGUGUCAUUGCCGCAGCCCCUCUUGCCCGCUGGUCGCCCGGGUGUCUGUUGUGGGUGUGCUGGGUGCCAGCAGAGGGCACACAGUCGGGCUGGGCCUGGCCCUUGGGUUCUUCAGGGACUCUGACCACGUGGUUGGUGUGAGUCUCUUGAGGAUGGCGCAGUGUUAGGGUGGAGAGGUGAGGUCACAGUAGGACCUAAACAGGUGGCCAGGGAGGGCUUCUCAGAGGGACAUUGAAUCCAGGCCUGGGGCAAAGGCCUAGAGGCAGGAGUGAGCCUGGUGGGUGUGCAGGGGAAGACCAGGGGACUCCUGGAGCAGCUGGCAUCUUUAACAGGGCGCAGAACUUUCUAGAACCAAACCCUGGCAGGCCCGUGGAGUGGGGACUGCAGAGCAGGUCAGGCUGCCCACGCGGUUGGGUCUGGAGGCUGGAGCCCAGUGCUCAGCCAAGCUCCCUUGCCGGGGAGUGGCCUCACACCGCAGGGCCCCCGCGCCGGCCCUGCUCCCUUGUGCAGGCAGUAAGGGCUGUCUCCGCCGUCCCUCUGCUCAGCCCGAGGGAGGGGGAGCCAGUGUUUUUGGUCCCGCGGCAGCUGACACCCGGGUCUGGCACAGUCCGUGGGCUCGCUGGGUUCUUAAGUGAGCUGAGCCAGCCCUGUCACCUCAUUUCCCGGACACCCGGGUCCUUGGUGCCCCGCAGGCCUGAGCCUGGGCUUGGUGUCCGGGGGAUGCCCCCCGUGGGUGAGGGACUGUCCCUUUGCGGUCCUCUUCCCCAGGAUGUGGCGCUACCCCGGAAUCCUGGCUGCCCCCAUUUCCCGUGCGCCUCAUGUUUCUGGCGGGUCCUGCGCAGAUCUGGCGGCCUUCCCCGGGCAGAUCGUGCCCACCACGGGGAAGACCGUGGCCUUGGGCCUAGGUUGUGGUUCCCAGGCUCUGAGCCCAGCACCGUCCUCCCCCAGUGGAACUCGGGGUGAACGCUCCAGGCCCUUCUCUGGCAUAGUCGGGUGCCCCUCUGCUGUGGGCACGGGAGGAGACCGCGGGGUCCUGGCUGUCACCGGCCGCUGGUGCUGGGCAAGCCCUGGAGGGUGCCUGCGGACUGGGCACAGGCUCUCCUGGCCCUCGGGCUCCGGCAGCUAUCGCGGGUCGGGUCGCGCUCGCACGGAGAAACUAGCGUAUGGGUACCGUCGAGAGUGACCCAGCCGUUGGACUUCCUGCUGUCCCCGGGGCGCCCGGAGAUGUUCAUCGCGGACGGUCGGAACCCGAAACUCGCAGGCGCGGAGUCCUGCUCGCCAGGUACUCGUAACCCUGGUCCGGCGCGCUGCAUCCUGGGAGUUGUAGUUUUCGAAGGCGGGUAGAAGUAAGUGCGUGUUCGGGUAGGCGGUGCCGCCGGGCGGGGCGCGUACCUAUUGGAUGGAGACUGGCGUGCACCGCCCCCUGCUUUUGCACACCGCCCGCUCCGCCUCCCAACGACGCGUCGAGAGCCGCGAUGGGUAAUACCCGGACGCGCGUCAGCGAUUGGUGGGAAGGCGGGGUUGAGGCGCGCGGCCGCCCGCGGAUUGGCGGGACGUGACGGGGGCAGGACCGCGCAUGCACUAAAGCGGCGGCGGCGGGCCGGGUGGGGGUUGCGCCAAGAUGUCGACGGCGGCGGUGCCGGAGUUGAAGCAGAUCAGCCGGGAGGAGGCGAUGCGCCUGGGGCCAGGCUGGAGCCACUCGUGCCACGCCAUGCUGUACGCAGCUAACCCCGGGCAGCUGUUCGGCCGCAUCCCCAUGCGCUUCUCGGUGCUGAUGCAGAUGCGCUUCGACGGGCUGCUGGGCUUCCCCGGGGGCUUCGUGGACCGGCGCUUCUGGUCGCUGGAGGACGGCCUGAACCGGGUGCUGGGCCUGGGCCUGGGCUGCCUGCGCCUCACCGAGGCCGACUACCUGAGCUCGCACCUGACCGAGGGCCCGCACCGCGUCGUGGCGCACCUGUACGCGCGGCAGCUGACGCUGGAGCAGCUGCACGCCGUGGAGAUCAGCGCGGUGCACUCGCGCGACCACGGCCUGGAGGUGGGGCCGCCGCCCGGGCCCCGUCCUCCGCCCUGGGGUUUGGCUCUGGCCCCGCGGAAGGCACCGAUGGGUGCUGGGCCUUGUGCGCGUGCCGCUGUACACGCAGAAGGACCGCGUCGGCGGCUUCCCCAACUUCCUGAGCAACGCCUUCGUCAGCACCGCCAAGUGCCAGCUCCUCUUCGCCCUCAAGGUGCUCAACAUGAUGCCGCAGGAGAAGCUGGCUGAGGCCCUGGCCGCCGCCACGGAGAAGCAGAAGAAGGCCCUGGAGAAGCUGCUGCCUGCCUCCUCCUGAGGCUGCAAGCACCUGCCGGGGGAUGGACUGGAAGCACAGGCUUCGUGGCAGAGCCAGCGCACAGGAGGCCACCACGGGCAGUCCCCUGCGGCCACGCCUAGGAGGACUCCCAUGGUGCCGUGGGAGUCUCCACAGCCGGGCCCAAGGAAGGUGGUGCUGCUGGCUCCACCGCAGAGCUCAAGGAGGCCGAGCGUGGGAGUGGCACUUUGCUAUGGAAAUAAAUCCCUGUACCUUG
Molecule: RNA transcript, 2594 nt
Organism: Oryctolagus cuniculus (rabbit)
Lineage: Eukaryota; Metazoa; Chordata; Mammalia; Lagomorpha; Leporidae
Gene: NUDT16L1
Gene name: nudix hydrolase 16 like 1
Source: RefSeq, a predicted model, not a curated record